GACGAACGCUGGCGGCGUGCUUAACACAUGCAAGUCGAGCGGAAAGGCCUCUUUCGGGGGGUACUCGAGUGGCGAACGGGUGAGUAACACGUGAGUAACCUGCCCUUGACUUUGGGAUAACUUCAGGAAACUGGGGCUAAUACCGGAUAGGAGCUCCUGCUGCAUGGUGGGGGUUGGAAAGUUUCGGCGGUUGGGGAUGGACUCGCGGCUUAUCAGCUUGUUGGUGGGGUAGUGGCUUACCAAGGCUUUGACGGGUAGCCGGCCUGAGAGGGUGACCGGCCACAUUGGGACUGAGAUACGGCCCAGACUCCUACGGGAGGCAGCAGUGGGGAAUAUUGCACAAUGGGUGGAAGCCUGAUGCAGCAACGCCGUGUGCGGGAUGACGGCCUUCGGGUUGUAAACCGCUUUCGCUCAUGACGAAGCUUUGUGUGACGGUAGUGGGUAAAGAAGCACCGGCUAACUACGUG
This 467-nucleotide ribosomal RNA is filed under the name uncultured bacterium. RNAcentral describes it as "partial 16S ribosomal RNA". It matches the Rfam family "Bacterial small subunit ribosomal RNA", at positions 28 to 507 of the family's 1533-position model. The record is from RNAcentral.